This 1721-nucleotide long non-coding RNA is filed under the name Homo sapiens (human). RNAcentral's name for it is "mir-99a-let-7c cluster host gene". Lineage: Eukaryota; Metazoa; Chordata; Mammalia; Primates; Hominidae. The record is from RNAcentral.
GGUUUAGCUCCAGUAUCACAGGCAGAGCAAUGGAGGAUGGAUUUGGAGCUGCAAGGCAAUAAACUGGUAACUGAACAAAACCAGUCCAAGAAGAUUGUAUAUAAGAGACACCUGAUAAUUUCAAAAUCCUAGGCCCACUUCCUGAGCUGAGCAAGCAUGCAACCUCAAAGAGAAAAGUUUGAGGAAAUCACUUCAAGGACAAAAAAUUGCAAUGUAAAGAGAAUUAUUUAUCUCCAAAUUCCAGAUUACCCCCCUGCCCAACCCCUGCCAGCAGCACCGUCCACAUGGUUUCUCAUUUAGUUUUGUGUUAGUUUAACAAAGUAGACUCUGCAAUCUGGAUAAAAUAGUAAGUCACCUCAGAUGGAUCUGAGAACGCUGUCUGGGCUUGGUACCAAGAGCUGGUAUUUCACAGCAGCGACCGCCUCACAGACGAGCUGUGGGAAGCAGGAGGGAGACUCUCUCUUAGGGUGCCACUACUAUGGAGACACAGCUGGGCUGAACAAGAUUUGCUUCAAACGACAACAAGAGAGACAGAAAGUAUCUGGUUCAACCGCUGCCCGAGCAGGCAGGCACCAGAAGAGCUAGCAGCCAAUCCGGCCAUGCUCGAAGCCAGCUCUGCAGCUCAGCCAAUCAGUGACAUCAUUGCUUUCUUUAGCUUGCCCAUGGUGAUGUGAAGAUGAGAAGAAAUAGCAAGGCCCAACCAGUUCUUCAUCUGGAGACAGUUCAACGUUCUGCAAACCAGAUCUUCAGGAAUUUUACUGGGAUAAUUAUCCAAAUAAAUUGCAAGCAUUCUAUCCAAAUGGAGCUCUUUCUGAGAUGAAGAGAAUUCUCAAUGUCAAGAUUUGAACAAGAAGAGAAUGGAAUACACAAUAUGGACAUCCAUAAAAAUUCAUCAGAGAGCAUUUUACUACUGAGCUGCAAAGGUAGGAAAAAUAAAUUUUUUUUGGUUAGAAAAUAUACUUCUUUCAUCUGCGUUUCAAUAAUUUAUUCCCCUUGUUAGAUAUACAUGGAAUUGAUAUUGCUUAUUCUGACUAAGUGAAAAGUGUUAUUUCUACUUACUGCUCAAUUAGAAACAUGUAGUGUUUAAUUGUCAGUUUGAAUUUUUCUUUCAUACUAUUACAGUUUAUAUUUUACUAUAGGCAGAAUUUCCUCUUUAUCCUAAAUUUUGAUAUUCUCCAUAAUUUCAUCGUGCCUUGACAUUGCUGUAUAUAAUUUCUAUACAUCAGGAAGGCAAUUCUGUGUGCAUGUGUGUGUGUAUAUAUAUAGUUAGAAGUUAGAAACUGAAACUCUUUUUUGUCUACCAUCAUUUCAUAUUUUUCUUGCUAUUUCAAACCUAUAAUUUUUAAAGAAACGACUAACGUAAUCAUUCAUAGAAUAUGCUGUCAGUAACUUAACAAUAUAAAUGUUAACAUGGAGGCAUUUAGUUCAGCAUUUGCUUUACUUAAUAGAGUGCAGAAAAUGUGGCCCUUUUCUCAGUUAGGGUGUAUGUGAAGAUAAAUUUAGAAUUUCUAGACUAGUAAAUACUUCUCUGAUAAUAACUUAAUUAUAGCUAUUUCAAACCAAAUUGUUUAAUUGUGGUGAAUCAUAUGUAAAUUGUUCAGAUGUAGGUCAACACCCACGCCCACAUUCUAGCACCUCUUUCCUAAUUCAAGACAACUUUGCAGUGCCUAAAAGAGCUGAACAGUGCAGAUUAGAGACAUAAGACAAAAAAAAAAAAAAAA